This 486-nucleotide ribosomal RNA is filed under the name uncultured bacterium. Its description in RNAcentral is "bacterial SSU rRNA". It matches the Rfam family "Bacterial small subunit ribosomal RNA", at positions 30 to 507 of the family's 1533-position model. The record is from RNAcentral.
AUUGAACGCUGGCGGCAUGCCUUACACAUGCAAGUCGAACGGCAGCACGGGUGCUUGCACCUGGUGGCGAGUGGCGAACGGGUGAGUAAUAUAUCGGGAACGUACCUUAUCGUGGGGGAUAACGCAGCGAAAGCUGCGCUAAUACCGCAUACGCCCUGAGGGGGAAAGCGGGGGACCGUAAGGCCUCGCGCGAUUAGAGCGGCCGAUAUCUGAUUAGCUUGUUGGUGGGGUAAAAGCCCACCAAGGCGACGAUCAGUAGCUGGUCUGAGAGGACGAUCAGCCACACUGGGACUGAGACACGGCCCAGACUCCUACGGGAGGCAGCAGUGGGGAAUUUUGGACAAUGGGGGCAACCCUGAUCCAGCAAUGCCGCGUGAGUGAAGAAGGCCUUCGGGUUGUAAAGCUCUUUUGUCAGGGAAGAAACAGCAGCUCUAACACAGUCUGCGAAUGACGGUACCUGAAGAAUAAGCACCGGCUAACUACGUG